GCGCUUGGAGGGCGGCCGGAGCUGGGCCUGAGCCUGGAGACUCGCCUGAUCCCGGGCGGCCGAACCACCAUCACCACAAUCGCCCCACCCCCGCCGUCGCCUCGUGGGGCCCCGGCCCCCUCCUAGGUCCGACGCACUCCAGGGUGGGCCAGGAGAAGAGAAAAAAGAAAAGACAGCUUGGUGAUGACUAAGAAGCAAGAAACUGGAGCCUAAGCUAGUACCGAGAGGAAAGCCACCUCUGCAGCGCUCCACUUUGCCCCAGCUGCAGGAUAUGUUGUCUUGGGAUACAGGAAAAUGCAGAUGACUUUUGAAGCCCAGAUACCGUGCCUUCUCUCCUCAGACAUGGUGAGAUGUACUCGGAUCUAGAGCAGGCAGCUGGCCAGAGACCCACAGGGAGCUCAGUGAUUGGCCUCAGAUGACCUUGGGGACAAAGAUUGUCCUGUGAAGGGAAGUGAUGGCACGGGCUCUGAUCAGCUCUUCUGGGAACAGACAGAGAAGUGAGAAUUCCUGCCAAAGCCACAGGAUGAACACAGAGCCAAGAACCUGAACCAGAAAAAUCCAGCAGGAAAGGAAACUGCACUGGCCACCAUCCUGAGGCUGCUGUACAAGGAACAAUCCUACCGACUCGGCAGGAGA
This 636-nucleotide long non-coding RNA is filed under the name Mus caroli (Ryukyu mouse). RNAcentral's name for it is "Mir9-3 host gene (MGP_CAROLIEiJ_G0006575.1)". The record is from RNAcentral. Lineage: Eukaryota; Metazoa; Chordata; Mammalia; Rodentia; Muridae.